ACUCAUCCACUAAAGAACCCCUAUCAAAGGUACUUAAUCAAAUAAUUUUUUAUUAACAAUGGUUAAUUGUAUAUCAAAUUUAAAAUUUUGUAAAUAAUUCAAAAUAACAAUGUUCAUGAAAGUAUUGACAAAAAAAAAAUGUUCAUGGAAGUAUUCGAAGGUUGUUGGAUCAGAUGUUUCAAUCUUCUGCUAUUGUUACUCCACCACAGCUUUCUUGGUACAUACGUGGGAUCACCAUAAAAACAUCUUCUACUGACUUUUCUUCUUGUCAUCUUUCACACGAGCCAAACUUCUCUGCAAGUAAUAAGGGAAAAGAAAAGUCAAUAGUAGUCUAGAAAAUAAAAGACAUUUCUUAAAUGAAAGCAAAUGAAUGCCCUCAAACAUUUCAUGAGUUGGAUCAAACAAUCAACACACACGUCUAAAGGUAUAUAGGCUGAUGUGCAGUUUGACAAAAAGGUCACUUUUCAUAACAAUAAUGGCAUAAAAGCAAAGCCAAAGAUAUUGGGAAACCUCUAUACGUGAUACAACCCCUUUUGUAACAGAGAUUGUAUCUCCUCCAAGAGGAUACCCCACGACAGUUACUGAAUCCUACAUACCAAAGCCACCAUGGAAACUCUAUGAACAAUAGCUCUGUCCAGAUAUAUUAUUAGAACUAUAAAACAGGGAAGAACAUAAGAAAUUAAGAACAUAUGUAUUCUUCAAUCAACUAAACAGAGAAUCAUUAGAUCAACUUGGUUCGAAGUUCUCUAACAUUAGCUAACUUUUGGCAAUCUAUAAAGCUAUAUGAUAACAGAAGUUACCCAUCAAAAGGGGAGAAGAAACCAAGGGGUCUUGUAUCAUCACUGAGAAGUGCAACCUUUGGGCCAGUGUCAUCAUAGAGCUCUAAAGCCAUGGAAUUAACCGAUGUACCACAUUUCUACCAUAGAUUUUCUUUCACAGCUUCUACACACAUCUAUAGAACAAAAUAGACAAAUGUUACAAGCAGAACAAUCAACGGUUACCAAUACUGCUUGUACUCACAUAUACAGCUCAUAUUCAACUGUUAAUCAAGUCAAGAUUCUCAAUUAUUACCCUAAUUCCAAAUAUACUAAACCAAAUUUACUCUAACUAAAGCACAAUCCUCAUGAAAACAAAGAAGAAACAGAAAAUUACCGUCGUACUAACUUGACCACCACAACUCCCAGUGUUAGGUACGGUUCCACGAGAUUUUCCAGAUUGAGCACCCCAUCACCUCCUUGGCUCGCCUUACGUAACCGCUAGAUCUCACAGCCCACAGGGAUACUCUUUGAAAGCAAAUAACGGAUUGUAAACCCAGAUUGGAACCAGAUCUUCAUAUAAAUCGGUGUCAGAGACGAAGAACCGAAUGUUAAGCCGGAAAAAUUAAACGAUUCAAGGUGAAUCGAUUGAUUUCGUCGGAUCAGAAAUUUUGCCGGUGGAUCUUCAACAAGAGAGAAACGUUUCGGGAGAAAAGAAAGAAAAAGUGAUUUUUUUUUUCUUUUAUAUUUACUGACUCUCCAAUCAUAAAUGGCCACGUCGCGGUUCUUAAACGUUGCCUCAGUUGCCCGAAGAAGCAACGAUUCUCAAUUAAAUGGACCAUUUUUCUUUUUUUUUUCAUUAAUUGCUGGCCCACAUUUGUUUUAGGCAACCUGUUUAGUACUCCCAC
This 1663-nucleotide long non-coding RNA is filed under the name Capsella grandiflora. RNAcentral describes it as "long non-coding RNA (CGRA_LNC001524)". The record is from RNAcentral. Lineage: Eukaryota; Viridiplantae; Streptophyta; Magnoliopsida; Brassicales; Brassicaceae.